Molecule: ribosomal RNA, 400 nt
Filed under: uncultured bacterium
Lineage: Bacteria
Description: bacterial SSU rRNA
Rfam family: Bacterial small subunit ribosomal RNA
Source: RNAcentral
UGGGGAAUAUUGGACAAUGGGGGAAACCCUGAUCCAGCAAUGCCGCGUGAGUGACGAAGGCCUUAGGGUUGUAAAGCUCUUUUACCUAUGAAGAUAAUGACGGUAGUAGGGGAAUAAGCCCUGGCUAACUCUGUGCCAGCAGCCGCGGUAAUACAGAGAGGGCAAGCGUUGUCCGGAAUGACUGGGCGUAAAGAGCGCGUAGGCGGUCUUUUAAGUCGGAUGUGAAAUCCCUGGGCUUAACCUAGGAACUGCAUACGAUACUGGAGGGCUAGAGGAUGAGAGAGGAAAGUGGAAUGACGAGUGUAGAGGUGAAAUUCGUAGAUAUUCGUCGGAACACCAGAGGCGAAGGCGGCUUUCUGGCUCAUACCUGACGCUGAGGCGCGAAAGCGUGGGGAGCAAA